RNAcentral lists this ribosomal RNA (301 nucleotides) under uncultured bacterium. RNAcentral describes it as "partial 16S ribosomal RNA". It matches the Rfam family "Bacterial small subunit ribosomal RNA", at positions 509 to 807 of the family's 1533-position model. The record is from RNAcentral.
CAGUCGCCGCGGUAAUACGAAGGGUGCAAGCGUUAAUCGGAAUUACUGGGCGUAAAGCGUGCGUAGGCGGUUUGUUAAGUCUGUUGUGAAAUCCCCGGGCUCAACCUGGGAAUGGCAAUGGAUACUGGCAAGCUAGAGUGCGUCAGAGGAUGGUGGAAUUCCCGGUGUAGCGGUGAAAUGCGUAGAGAUCGGGAGGAACAUCAGUGGCGAAGGCGGCCAUCUGGGACAACACUGACGCUGAGGCACGAAAGCGUGGGGAGCAAACAGGAUUAGAUACCCCGGUAGUCCCUGUCUCUUAUAC